AUACACGCUGGCGGCGUGCUUAACCCAUGCACGUCGAACGAAGUUUUUCUUUCGGGAGGAACUUAGUGGCGGCCGGGUGAGUAACGCGUGGGUAACCUGCCCUGUACAGGGGGACAACAGCUGGAAACGGCUGCUAAUACCGCAUAAGCCCUUAGCACUGCAUGGUGCAUAGGGAAAAGGAGCAAUCCGGUACAGGAUGGACCCGCGUCUGAUUAGCCAGUUGGCAGGGUAACGGCCUACCAAAGCGACGAUCAGUAGCCGAUCUGAGAGGAUGUACGGCCACAUUGGGACUGAGACACGGCCCAGACUCCUACGGGAGGCAGCAGUGGGGAAUAUUGCACAAUGGAGGAAACUCUGAUGCAGCGACGCCGCGUGAGUGAAGAAGUAUUUCGGUAUGUAAAGCUCUAUCAGCAGGAAAGAAAAUGACGGUACCUGACUAAGAAGCACCGGCUAAAUACGUG
RNAcentral lists this ribosomal RNA (461 nucleotides) under uncultured bacterium. RNAcentral describes it as "partial 16S ribosomal RNA". It matches the Rfam family "Bacterial small subunit ribosomal RNA", at positions 33 to 507 of the family's 1533-position model. The record is from RNAcentral.